AAAGUGGAGCAAUCCAUGAGUACAGUGGCGUACGGGUGAGUAACACGUGGAUUAUCUACCUUCUAGUGGGGAAUACCUCCGGGAAACUGGAGACAAUACCGCAUAAGCUCGUAAGAGGAAAGCAGCAAUGCGCUGGAAGAGGAGUCCGCGGCUGAUUAGCUAGUUGGCGGGGUAAUGGCCCACCAAGGCGAAGAUCGGUAGCCGGCCUGAGAGGGCACACGGCCACACUGGCACUGAAACACGGGCCAGACUCCUACGGGAGGCAGCAGUGGGGAAUCUUGCACAAUGGAGGAAACUCUGAUGCAGCGACGCCGCGUGAGCGAUGAAGCCCUUCGGGGUGUAAAGCUCUUUCGACGGGAACGAUAAUGACGGUACCCGAAGAAGAAGCUGCGGCUAACUACGUGCCAGCAGCCGCGGUAAUACGUAGGCAGCAAGCGUUGUUCGGAAUUACUGGGCGUAAAGAGUGUGUAGGCGGUGCUCCAAGUCUGGUGUGAAAUCUCCCGGCUUAACUGGGAGGGUGCAUUAGAAACUGGAAUGCUAGAGGAUGGGAGAGGUAAGCGGAAUUCCUGGUGUAGCGGUGAAAUGCGUAGAUAUCAGGAGGAACACCUGUGGUGUAGACAGCUUACUGGACCAUUUCUGACGCUGAGACACGAAAGCGUGGGUAGCAAACAGGAUUAGAUACCCUGGUAGUCCACGCCCUAAACGAUGCAUACUUGGUGUGAGCGAUUCAUUUCGUUCGUGCCGGAGCUAACGCGUUAAGUAUGCCGCCUGGGGAGUACGGUCGCAAGGCUGAAACUC
This 798-nucleotide ribosomal RNA is filed under the name uncultured Bacillota bacterium. Its description in RNAcentral is "bacterial SSU rRNA". It matches the Rfam family "Bacterial small subunit ribosomal RNA", at positions 71 to 902 of the family's 1533-position model. The record is from RNAcentral. Lineage: Bacteria; Bacillati; Bacillota.